Molecule: ribosomal RNA, 493 nt
Filed under: uncultured bacterium
Lineage: Bacteria
Description: partial 16S ribosomal RNA
Rfam family: Bacterial small subunit ribosomal RNA
Source: RNAcentral
GACGAACGCUGGCGGCGUGCUUAACACAUGCAAGUCGAACGGAAAGGCCUGCUUUCCCUUGUGGAUUGCGGGUACUCGAGUGGCGAACGGGUGAGUAACACGUGAGUGAUCUGCCCCCAACUUGGGUAUAAGCCUGGGAAACUGGGUCUAAUUCCCGAUAGGACUGCAGGGUGGUGCCUGUGGUGGAAAACGAUUUUCUAGUGGUUGGGGAUGAGCUCGCGGCCUAUCAGCUUGUUGGUGGGGUAAUGGCCUACCAAGGCGGCGACGGGUAGCCGGCCUGGGAGGGUGGACGGCCAAAUUGGGACUGAGAUACGGCCCAGACUCCUACGGGAGGCAGCAGUGGGGAAUAUUGCACAAUGGGCGGAAGCCUGAUGCAGCGACGCCGCGUGGGGGAUGACGGCCUUCGGGUUGUAAACUCCUUUCGACCGCGAGGAAGCCACCUGGUUGGAAGGGUGGUGACGGUAGUGGUAGAAGAAGCACCGGCUAACUACGU